AAUCUAUGAUGAGAAAACUGCAACAAUAUGAUGGAUAUAAAUUCCAUGAUUCGCUGUAUUUAAGUCUCUGAUGAUU
This is a small nucleolar RNA of Neltuma alba, 76 nucleotides long. RefSeq annotates it as small nucleolar RNA Z199. The record is from RefSeq and is a predicted model, not a curated record. The transcript has a single exon. NCBI's taxonomy places the organism in Eukaryota, Viridiplantae, Streptophyta, Magnoliopsida, Fabales, Fabaceae.